RNAcentral lists this microRNA precursor (183 nucleotides) under Oryza brachyantha (malo sina). RNAcentral describes it as "MIR812 microRNA precursor family". It matches the Rfam family "MIR812 microRNA precursor family". Lineage: Eukaryota; Viridiplantae; Streptophyta; Magnoliopsida; Poales; Poaceae. The record is from Rfam by way of RNAcentral.
AAUAACCCUAUUUUUCGUUUUUCCGUGUUCAACGUUUGACUAUUCGUCUUAUUUAAAAUUUUUUUACGAUUAAUAUUUUUAUUAUUACUAGGUGAUAAAAUAUGAAUAGUACUUUAUACGUGACUAAUUUUUUAAAGUUUUUUAUAAAUUUUUUAAAUAAGACGAAACGUUAGACAUAGAAAA